UCCAGCUGGGGGCAGCGCAGUCAACCGCCGAGUGGUGGCGCACAGCGCUCGCUUAAGCGGGAAGGAAGGGAGGCGCUGGACUUGCAGUGAUUGGCAGGCAGAAAUGGGGCGGAGAUAAGGCAGGUUUUCUGAGAGAUUAUUGGCUGAAUUGGCUGCGGGGGCGGGAGAAGAGAAGACUCGGCCGGGGAUUCGUGGAAGUGGAGCGGAAGUCGAUCGCUAAAGCUGUUGAGAAGAGUGUGAAGAGAAAGGAGCAGCGUUUGCGGCAUCGGCGUCUGUCAGCAGGCGUAGGCGGGACCACCGUCGCCCCCUGUCUGGAAGACUCGAGGGGCCCCCGCACUCCCUCGCUCCGCUUCCACCGACGGCAACAAACCUAAUCUUAUACUUUUCUUUAGUAACCACGUUAAAAAAUAAAUAUAUAUUUUAAUAUGUUAAACUUAAUGUAUAGCCACAAUAUCAUUUCAACAUGUGAUCGGUAUUAAAAUAAACACGAACCUGAGGUAUCUUUUAUUUUGUUACUUAGUACUAACGGUUUGAAGACCUGUGUGUUUUACACGUUACACCACAUCAGUGAUCUGGACGCUCCGUUUUCACCGGAAAUAGUUGAGGUUUCAUAAAACUUAGAGUUGAAAGGGAGAUUCACAUGCCCAAAUGUUUCCCAGCAUGUUAAAAUUUCCCAUGAACCCAGUCUCAUGUCGGUGAUAAAUUGAGAUAUUAAUUGAUGAAAGUUAAGCGACGUGGAAUGUUCUGUUUCACAGUGGCACUAGCCACAUUCAGGUGCUUGUGAUCCCCUGUGGCUUCCGAUAUUGGAUAGCCAAUACCAACUUCAGCCAAACUGACCUUUUUGUUUCAUAAAAUCUGCCAUGACACCCCCCACUUCUUUUCUGGUGCCUCCUUGUUCUUCAGGUCUCUCCUCAGAUGUCUUCUGGGAGAAUCCAAGAGCCCCCUGAACAGCAUUCAAAUUCGUAGAACGUAUAAUGCUUCACACACUGGUAAUGAAGAAGCAGCAAUGAUUGCUUUAUGGGAGCCUUGUGUGGUCUGUGGCGCCCAUGUAUGGUCUGUAAGUCUGGAAGUUUUGAUAAGUUUUAACUUCAACUUUUUAUAAUCAAUAUGUAUAUAUUUUAUGAUUGUUGUUUAGUCACUAAAUCACAUCCAGCUCUUUUAUGACUGCAUGGACUGUAGACUGCUAUGCUCCUCUGUCCAGGUGAUUUCCCAGGCAAGAAUACUGGAGUAGGUUACCAUUUCCUUCUCCAAGGGAUCUUCCAACCCAAGGAUUGACCCAGGGUCUUCUGCAUUGGCUGAUGGUUUCUUUACUACUGAGUCACCUGGAAAGCCUGCAUUUUAUAGUAAUAAAUGAUAAAAUAGUAUCUAUAUAUAUUUUAUGCAUUUAUGACAUACCUUUCUUAAUUUUUUUUAAUAUUUCUAAGCUAUACCUUUAACCAAUUGUUGCAAAUCUCCAAAAAUGUUUCCAAUGUAC
Long non-coding RNA from Dama dama (fallow deer), 1474 nucleotides. RefSeq lists it as uncharacterized. The record is from RefSeq and is a predicted model, not a curated record. The transcript has 3 exons. NCBI's taxonomy places the organism in Eukaryota, Metazoa, Chordata, Mammalia, Artiodactyla, Cervidae.